This is a non-coding RNA of Gossypium hirsutum (cotton), 107 nucleotides long. The record is from Rfam. Lineage: Eukaryota; Viridiplantae; Streptophyta; Magnoliopsida; Malvales; Malvaceae.
AUGCCAUGAUGGUGGCACUUUUGAAAUAACUCCUUGAACCACUCCCAUGCCUCAUAUAAAGAUUCUUCAUCAAGUUGCUGAAAUGUGGUAACUUUAUUUCAGAGUCU